GAUGAAGAACGCAGAGAAAUGCGAUAAGUAAUGUGAAUUGCAGAAUUCAGUGAAUCAUCGAAUCUUUGAACGCACAUUGCGCCCCUUGGUAUUCCGGGGGGCAUGCCUGUUCGAGCGUCAUUAUAACCCUCAAGCCUAGCUUGGUGUUGGAGCAUGCUACCUAAGCAGCUCUUAAAAUCAGUGGCAGUGCCCUUCGGCUCUAAGCGUAGUAACUUCUCUCGCUAUGGAACCCGGAGGGUACGCGCCAGAACCCCCAACUUUCUAUGGUUGACCUCGGAUCAGGUAGGGAUACCCGCUGAACUUAAGCAUAUCAAUAAGCGGAGGA
Molecule: unclassified non-coding RNA, 325 nt
Filed under: soil metagenome
Description: partial contains 5.8S ribosomal RNA, internal transcribed spacer 2, and large subunit ribosomal RNA
Rfam family: 5.8S ribosomal RNA (bases 1-120)
Source: RNAcentral